UUACAGUCCUGUGAAUGAAACAUUGUGACCUCAAGUUUACAGAUGAAGACAAUAAACUUCAGAGAGUUCAAGUAUAUCACUCAAGCAGGAUUAUUUGUGCCCAUGAGGGAAACACGAAGGAUUGUCAGUAUUCAUUUGCUAUCAGAACUGCCUUUGAACUUCAGGGAAGCCGCCAUCUUGUUUUUGUUCACUCCUCUAAAGCACAGUGUCUGCAACAAGAAACACUAAUAAGACACAGUUAUCCAGAAAAAGCCCUAGAGAUGGAUAAGGAACCUGUUGGAAUGCUCCGAUAUUAAGAAAAAAAAAUUAAAUUCAAAACCAAAAACAAGUCACAAGGGAGUUUUAUGCCUAUGUAAUCAGUGCAGACAGCCGUUAAGUAAAUGAAGAGGCAACUAACAAUGUCAGAAAAGAGACCGGGCGGUUCCGGCUGACACUACCCUAAUCUUCCAGGACCCAUUAAAUGGCAGUUUCAACGCAUUACCUACCAUAACAUCCUUGAAUAUCACUGAUUUUAUUUGCAGUAUCAAACAUUCCAUUUCAUGCCCCAUUAACAGUGGGAGCCUGGGCUUUUUGACGCAGCUAAACAUUUUACUAACUACCUGGACUAAGUAACCAAUUAACUUUUGGAGACAAUACGGCCAAUUAAGCGCGAAAAGAAAAUUUGGAAAACAGCCUUUUCCUAUCCGGAUGAACAGAGAUAAUUUGUGUCAAUGGAUGUUCUGUGAAGGCCUAUUGUGUCGAGCAGUGUAUUAAAACAUAAAUAUGGCUCUUCCCCCAAGAAACUUACAUUUCAGUAAGGGAGCCUGGCCAAAAUGGAAAAUUGCAAGGUUCAAAUCCUGGAGUGCAGAAGAAGCAUUAGGC
Molecule: long non-coding RNA, 861 nt
Filed under: Pan troglodytes (chimpanzee)
Lineage: Eukaryota; Metazoa; Chordata; Mammalia; Primates; Hominidae
Description: lincRNA
Source: RNAcentral